RNAcentral lists this ribosomal RNA (402 nucleotides) under bacterium. RNAcentral's name for it is "partial 16S ribosomal RNA". It matches the Rfam family "Bacterial small subunit ribosomal RNA", at positions 355 to 776 of the family's 1533-position model. The record is from RNAcentral.
UGGGGAAUUUUGCACAAUGGGGGAAACCCUGAUGCAGCGACGCCGCGUGAUUUAGAAGGCCUUCGGGUUGUAAAAAUCUUUUCUAUGGGAAGAAAAUGACAGUACCAUAGGAAUAAGGACCGGCUAAUUACGUGCCAGCAGCCGCGGUAAUACGUAAGGUCCGAGCGUUGUCCGGAAUCAUUGGGCGUAAAGGGUACGUAGGCGGGUAAGCAAGUUAGAAGUGAAAUCCUAUAGCUCAACUAUAGUAAGCUUUUAAAACUGCUCAUCUUGAGGUAUGGAAGGAAAAGUGGAAUUCCUAGUGUAGCGGUGAAAUGCGCAGAUAUUAGGAGGAAUACCGGUGGCGAAGGCGACUUUCUGGCCAUAACCUGACGCUGAGGUACGAAAGCGUGGGUAGCAAACAGG